This 698-nucleotide long non-coding RNA is filed under the name Homo sapiens (human). RNAcentral's name for it is "uncharacterized LOC105373757, transcript variant 13 (LOC105373757)". The record is from RNAcentral. Lineage: Eukaryota; Metazoa; Chordata; Mammalia; Primates; Hominidae.
AAUGGCAGGAGACACCAUGAGAUGUUUUCUACUGUAGAAACUUUCUCAUUAGAAAUAGCCCAUUUAUACAGGGGACUGGCUAAUGUUUUUCUAUGAGUAUCAUUAGCCAGUGUCUCAAAGUGGUGAAGAGACUGCAACCUGGAACAAGGAGAGACAAAGGGAAGGAGGAGUCUGGAGCCAUAUUGAAGAUGAAAUUGAGAUAUGGACUAGGUGGUGGAUCGUUUUUAUAAGAGGACAUAAAAGAGGAUGCUAAAGCUAAUUGCCACAAUCAGAACUCAAAGACCUAGCAAAUGCAAGCCUUAUGCAAAUCCUGGAAGAUAUCAAUUCUGAGGGCUGGGGUGUAUCUUGAUCACCUUUGGAAUCUACCACUGCAUGGAGCACAGCACUUACCACCUAGUAGUUCUGUUUGUUUCCAAGUUUGGAAGAAACAUAAUUGAAUCAUUUUGAGGAAUUCCAAUCCCUGACAAGAUGCCAGUGCUAUUUUACAGCAAGAGUAGACGAGGAAGGCUAUACUACGUGGUCCUGGGCAAGUUAUUUAAAUUCUCUGUGCCUCAGUUUUCUGAACCGUAAGAUGGGAAGAAUAAUAGUAACUACCUCUGGAGGCUGUUGUAAAAGUUAAAUGAUCUGAUCUAUGUAAAGCACUUAGAACAGUACCUGGUAUAUAAGUGUGUGAUAAAUAAAAUCCAAUAUGAAGAAGA